UUAAUGGAGAGUUUGAUCCUGGCUCAGGACGAACGCUGGCGGCGUGCCUAAUACAUGCAAGUCGAGCGAGGGUCUUCGGACCCUAGCGGCGGACGGGUGAGUAACACGUAGGCAACCUGCCUGUAAGACUGGGAUAACAUAGGGAAACUUAUGCUAAUACCGGAUAGGGUUUUGCUUCGCCUGAAGCGAAACGGAAAGAUGGCGCAAGCUAUCACUUACAGAUGGGCCUGCGGCGCAUUAGCUAGUUGGUGAGGUAACGGCUCACCAAGGCGACGAUGCGUAGCCGACCUGAGAGGGUGACCGGCCACACUGGGACUGAGACACGGCCCAGACUCCUACGGGAGGCAGCAGUAGGGAAUUUUCCACAAUGGACGAAAGUCUGAUG
Molecule: ribosomal RNA, 385 nt
Filed under: Brevibacillus laterosporus
Lineage: Bacteria; Bacillati; Bacillota; Bacilli; Caryophanales; Paenibacillaceae
Description: bacterial SSU rRNA
Rfam family: Bacterial small subunit ribosomal RNA
Source: RNAcentral